RNAcentral lists this ribosomal RNA (365 nucleotides) under uncultured bacterium. RNAcentral describes it as "partial 16S ribosomal RNA". It matches the Rfam family "Bacterial small subunit ribosomal RNA", at positions 94 to 526 of the family's 1533-position model. The record is from RNAcentral.
AGUGUAGGAAGGGUGAGUAAUGUCUGGGCAACUGCCUGAUGGAAGGCGAUAAGUAAUGGGAACGGUAGCUAAUCCCGCAUACCAUCGGAUGUCCCCAGAUGGGAUUAGCUAGUAGGUGGGGUAAAGGCUCACCUAGGCGACGAACCCUAGCUGGUCUGAGAGGAUGAGCAUCCACAUGGGAACUGAGACACGGUCCAGACUCCUACGGGAGGCAGCAGGGGGGAAUAUUGCACAAUUGGCGCAAGCCUGAGUCAGCAAUGCCGCGGGUAGGAAGAAGUCAUGAGGGGUGUAAAGUACGUUCAGAUGGGAGGCGUUACCCGCAGAAGAAGCACCGGCUAACUCCGUGCCAGCAGCCGCGGUAAUAC